This 950-nucleotide non-coding RNA is filed under the name Rhinochimaera pacifica (Pacific spookfish). Its description in RNAcentral is "12S ribosomal RNA". It matches the Rfam family "Bacterial small subunit ribosomal RNA". The record is from RNAcentral. Lineage: Eukaryota; Metazoa; Chordata; Chondrichthyes; Chimaeriformes; Rhinochimaeridae.
CACACGGUUUGGUCCUAGCCUCAGUAUUAUUUUUAACAAAACUUACACAUGCAAGUUUCCGCAUCCCAGUGAGAUUGCCCCUACUCAUCCUUUAAGAAAACAGGGAGCAGGUAUCAGGCACACACUAGUAGCCCAAAACACCUUGCUCAGCCACACCCCCAAGGGAAUUCAGCAGUGAUUAAUAUUAGCAAAUAAACGAAAGUUUGACCUAGUUACAGUUACACAGAGUCGGCCAAUCUCGUGCCAGCCGCCGCGGUUAUACGAGCGACCCAAAUUAAUAAAAAAACGGCGUAAAGAGUGCAUAAGAAAAACCUUAUAUUGUUAAAACUGAAGUAGUGCUUAACUGUUAUACGUAUCCGCACCCAUGAAAAACAAUCACGAAAGUAAUUUUAUAAAAAAGAGGCCUCUUAAAACACGAUAGCUAAAGAACAAACUGGGAUUAGAUACCCCACUAUGUUUAGCCUUAAACCUAAGUAUUUACUUACCCAAAUACCCGCCAGAGAACUACAAGCGCCAGCUUGAAACCCAAAGGACUUGGCGGUGCCUUAGACCCCCCUAGAGGAGCCUGUUCUAGAACCGAUAAUCCCCGUUCAACCUCACCAUCUCUUGAUAUUACAGCCUAUAUACCGCCGUCGCCAGCUUGCCCUAUGAGGGAUAAACAGCAAGCAAAAAGAAUUGACCUUCAAAACGUCAGGUCGAGGUGUAGCUUAUGAGGUGGGAAGAAAUGAGCUACAUUUUCUACCAAGAUCAACAGAUAAAUAAUGAAAUCAAAAUUGAAGCUGGAUUUAGUAGUAAGAAAUAAAUAGUAUAUUAAUCUGAAAAUGGCUCUAAGGCGCGCACACACCGCCCGUCACUCUCCUCAAUUGACCCCUAAAAUACCUAAUAACUCUUCUAAACAUAGAGGAGGCAAGUCGUAACAUGGUAAGUGUACUGGAAAGUGCACUUGGAAU